GGAGGGGGCUAGUGUUGUUCGGAAUUACUGGGCGUAAAGGGCGCGCAGGCGGCUUGGCAAGUCGAGUGUGAAAUCCCUUGGCUUAACUGAGGAAUGGCGCUCGAAACUACCUCGCUCGAGGGCGGGAGAGGGAAGUGGAACUCUCGGUGUAGGGGUGAAAUCUGUAGAUAUCGAGAGGAACACCGGUGGCGAAGGCGGCUUCCUGGCCCGUACCUGACGCUGAGGCGCGAAAGCGUGGGGAGCAAACAGGAUUAGAUACCCUGGUAGUCCACGCCCUAAACGAUGGGCACUAGGUGUGGGCGGUAUUAAUCCCGUCUGUGCCGUAGCUAACGCAUUAAGUGCCCCGCCUGGGGAGUACGGUCGCAAGGCUGAA
Molecule: ribosomal RNA, 373 nt
Filed under: uncultured bacterium
Lineage: Bacteria
Description: bacterial SSU rRNA
Rfam family: Bacterial small subunit ribosomal RNA
Source: RNAcentral